AUCCUGCUCUGGCAGUUAUUUAAACAGAAGCCUCCAGGAGACAUACAAUCAACACUCCACUCAGACAAUGCCCAGACCUCCAGAAAUCAUGUGUCAAGCUUGGAUUGCCUUAGACAGAAGCUCACCCAGCUGGAACUCUUAUGGGACCUUGGCACCAGAGAUCACCAAUUCCUCUUUGAAGUUUUCUAACAGCAUCAAUGGUAUUUCUGACUUGGCUUUCUUGUAUUUCUCUCACAUUAACAAAACUGGUUGAGCAUCUACCACGGGCUACAUGCUGAGCUACAGGUGCUGUUGAUGAAACUGCCAAAGGAGCUGAAUAUGACUGACAUCUUUGGAAGGAUGAGACUUAGCGUGCCCGUACAGUUGUGUCCAAAUGCUGUCCUUAUCUCCCAAUGGAAAGGUCCCCAGGUUCUGCCUCCAUCCUGACGUCCAGUGUUGGAUUCCUCUUCACAUCAACUCCUCUCUGCAGGUUGAGCCAUCAGACCUUACCUCCUUAUUUAUGUUGAGCAAAGGAGAGAGAAUGCCUCUACAGACAACGAAAAAAGUGAAAAAAAAAAAUCCUUCUCC
Molecule: long non-coding RNA, 567 nt
Filed under: Cercocebus atys (sooty mangabey)
Lineage: Eukaryota; Metazoa; Chordata; Mammalia; Primates; Cercopithecidae
Description: lncRNA (ENSCATG00000045390.1)
Source: RNAcentral